Molecule: long non-coding RNA, 1234 nt
Organism: Mesocricetus auratus (golden hamster)
Lineage: Eukaryota; Metazoa; Chordata; Mammalia; Rodentia; Cricetidae
Exons: 5
Source: RefSeq, a predicted model, not a curated record
CUUCUCUCCAUAACAGCCCAGGGAGGGGCGAAGAUCAUCCACAAUAAUCAGAAGGACAUUCAGAGCAUCUGCACAGGAGGGAGGGGCUUUGGUUACAUCACAUACACAGACACUGAAACCCGACUACCAUCAAGGUGAUAGUUAAACGAAAAUGAGAAGGAAAGAAGCAAACCACUUGAUGGUGUAUAAAGAGGGAACGGCAAUUAUGGAGCAGAGUUAAGAGAGAUGGUGACUGGAACCGGCCAAGAAGAGAGCUCCGGAGAAAGAAGAGAUGGGCACAAUGGUGGGAGUUGGAUUCCUGUGACAAGAAUUAUUCCCUGCUCAUUUUGGACUGAAGACCAAGAAAGACUCCAUGUCGUAUCUCUAUGAAAUGGAGUUUCUGAAAAACUAGAACCUCUAUCUAAAUAUUGAUAUUGUGGCAUCUUACCCUCCAGACAACAUGUUAAACUAAAGAUCAGCUUCAUCAGAAAACUGACUCUGGAGGCUGGAGUGAUGGCCCAGUGAUUAACAGAAUUUGCCUUGCAAGCAGUAUGUACCGCAACUUCAACUUCCAAAGAGAUAAGCCUGGACUGUUUCAGUAUAUCUGGGGAAAAGAAGACAUAGGCAGUCUUGCCAACCAAGCUACCUGUGUACCUGUUCCACUUAAAUCUUCUCGAGGGCCAACUUCAAAAAAAGAGAAGAUCUUACCUACCAGAUAUUCUCCACGAUUCUAUCACAAACCUGAGGAAGAAGAGUCCAAGAAGAAGAACUCCAGUGAUAAGCCACCUAAAGAAAAUCACGACUUUGUAUUCUCUUCUAUAUGGGCGAUGAAAGCUAUUCCUGGAUGUUACCUACAAUAUCAGCCAUUUGGGGAGUCAAGAAACCCACCUGUGGAAGACACCUCUCAAAAUACUAUAUAUAUAUAUGCCUCCAACUGCUCCUGGAGUCCAAGACACGGAAGAAGUACCCAGUGUCAGCUCAUCAGGGUACCGCAUUUUGCAUUUUAUGGUGUGUCUGUACAACGAUUGUUGUUCUGCCCUAUUGUCUGCCUUCUCACGAAGGUAAACACAUGAAUCCCCUAAUGAAGAAGAGCAGGAAGGCUCCUCAGAUUAUAAGUGUGUAAUCUGUGAGCCUAUAACCAAUUUCACUUAUGAAAUCACAGGGAAAUGUAAACUAGUAAAAAUGUUUUAAGGUUCGUCCAAUUUUGCUAUCAAAAUGGAUAAAUUCAAUGAUGGCAAAUAAAUAAUCUAAACUA